RNAcentral lists this microRNA precursor (201 nucleotides) under Drosophila guanche. Lineage: Eukaryota; Metazoa; Arthropoda; Insecta; Diptera; Drosophilidae. The record is from RNAcentral.
UUUCACUUGCCAGUUGUUGCUCCUUCGCCCUCUCUCUCUCUCUCUCUCUCUCUCGCUCUGUGUGUUGCUGUCUCAGCUGGUUGCAUGCAAAGUUCAAUCAAAAUAAAUCAGUUGCCUAGAACAUUACAGACUUCCAGUGGCACACACACACAGAGAGCGAGAGAGAGAGAGAGAGAGGGAGGAGCGACAGAGUAACAAUGG